CGAACGCUGGCGGCAUGCCUAACACAUGCAAGUCGAACGAGACCUUCGGGUCUAGUGGCGCACGGGUGCGUAACGCGUGGGAACCUGCCUUAGGUCGGAAUAACCAGUGAGAAAUUACCUGCUAAUACCGGAUGAUGUCUUCGGGACCAAAGAUUUAUCGCCUUUAGAUGGGCCCGCGUUGGAUUAGCUAGUUGGUGGGGUAAAGGCCUACCAAGGCGACGAUCUGUAGCUGGUCUGAGAGGACGACCAGCCACACUGGGACUGAGAUACGGGCCAGACUCCUACGGGAGGCAGCAGUAGGGAAUAUUGGGCAAUGGUCGCAAGACUGACCCAGCCAUGCCGCGUGCAGGAAGACGGCCCUCUGGGUUGUAAACUGCUUUUAUCUGGGAAGAAAAAGUCCAUGCGUGGAAAAUUGCCGGUACCAGAUGAAUAAGCACCGGCUAACUCCGUG
This 451-nucleotide ribosomal RNA is filed under the name uncultured bacterium. Its description in RNAcentral is "bacterial SSU rRNA". It matches the Rfam family "Bacterial small subunit ribosomal RNA", at positions 30 to 507 of the family's 1533-position model. The record is from RNAcentral.